UGGGGAAUUUUGGACAAUGGGCGAAAGCCUGAUCCAGCAAUGCCGCGUGCGGGAAGAAGGCCUUCGGGUUGUAAACCGCUUUUGUCAGGGAAGAAAUCCUUUGAGCUAAUACCUCGGGGGGAUGACGGUACCGGAAGAAUAAGCACCGGCUAACUACGUGCCAGCAGCCGCGGUAAUACGUAGGGUGCAAGCGUUAAUCGGAAUUACUGGGCGUAAAGCGUGCGCAGGCGGUUAUGCAAGACAGAUGUGAAAUCCCCGGGCUCAACCUGGGAAUUGCAUCGGAGACUGCAAGGCUAGAAUCUGGCAGAGGGGGGUAGAAUUCCACGUGUAGCAGUGAAAUGCGUAGAUAUGUGGAGGAACACCGAUGGCGAAGGCAGCCCCCUGGGCCAAGAUUGACGCUCAUGCACGAAAGCGUGGGGAGCAAACA
RNAcentral lists this ribosomal RNA (427 nucleotides) under uncultured bacterium. RNAcentral's name for it is "bacterial SSU rRNA". It matches the Rfam family "Bacterial small subunit ribosomal RNA", at positions 355 to 774 of the family's 1533-position model. The record is from RNAcentral.